UCAGGUUGAUCCUGCCGGACCUGACUGCUAUCGGAUUGGUACUAAGCCAUGCGAGUCAUUGUACAAUACAAGGCGGACGGCUCAGUAACACGUAGUCAACCUAACUCGAGGACGUGGAUAACCUCGGGAAACUGAGAAUAAACCACGAUAGAUCAUAGUGCCUGGAAUGGCUUAUGGUCCAAACAGUUUACUGCCAUGGGAUGGGACUGCGGCCUAUCAGCUUGUUGGUGAGGUAAUGGCCCACCAAGGCGAUUACAGGUACGGGCUCUGAGAGGAGAAGCCCGGAGAUGGGUACUGAGACACGGACCCAGGCCCUAUGGGGCGCAGCAGGCGAGAAACCUUAGCAAUGUGCGAAAGCACGACUGGGUCAGUCCGAGUGAUUCCUGAUAAAGGAGUCUUUUGCUUGUCCUAAAAGCACAGGUGAAUAAGGGGUGGGCAAGUCCGGUGUCAGCCGCCGCGGUAAUACCAGCACCUCGAGUGGUCAGGACGUUUAUUGGGCCUAAAGCAUCCGUAGCCGGCUUUGCAAGUCUUCGGUUAAAUCCCCUGCUCAACAGAUGGGCCGCU
RNAcentral lists this ribosomal RNA (564 nucleotides) under uncultured archaeon. RNAcentral describes it as "bacterial SSU rRNA". It matches the Rfam family "Archaeal small subunit ribosomal RNA", at positions 1 to 576 of the family's 1478-position model. The record is from RNAcentral.